AUUGAACGCUGGCGGCAGGCCUAACACAUGCACGUCGAACGAGUGGCGGACGGGUGAGUAAUGUCUGGGAAACUGCCUGAUGGAGGGGGAUAACUACUGGAAACGGUAGCUAAUACCGCAUACCAUCGGAUGUGCCCAGAUGGGAUUAGCUAGUGGGUGGGGUAAAGGCUCACCUAGGCGACGAUCCCUAGCUGGUCUGAGAGGCUGACCAGCCACAGUGGAAGUGAGAAAAGGUCCAGACUCCUACGGGAGGCAGCAGUGGGUAAUAUUGAACAAUGGGCGCAAGCCGGAUGCAGCCAUGCCGCGUGUAUGAAGAAGGCCUUCGGGUUGUAAAGUACUUUCAGCGGGGAGGCGGUACCCGCAGAAGAAGCACCGGCUAACUCCGUGCCAGCAGCCGCGGUAAUUC
Molecule: ribosomal RNA, 406 nt
Filed under: uncultured bacterium
Lineage: Bacteria
Description: partial 16S ribosomal RNA
Rfam family: Bacterial small subunit ribosomal RNA
Source: RNAcentral